UUCCCUUCGGGGCUUUCUGCAAGGUGCUGCAUGGUUGUCGUCAGCUCGUGCCGUGAGGUGUCGGUUAAGUCCAUAACGAGCGCAACCCUUAUCGUUAGUUGCCAUCUGGUAAUGCAGGGGACUCUAGCGAACUGCCACGUAAGGUGAGAGGAAGUGGGAUGACGUCAAAUCAGCACGGCCCUUAUGUCCAGGGCUACACACGUGUUACAAUGGUCGGUACAGAGGGCAGCUACCUGGUGACAGGAUGCUAAUCUCGAAAACCGGUCUCAGUUCGGAUCGAAGUCUGCAACUCGACUUCGUGAAGCUGGAUUCGCUAGUAAUCGCGCAUCAGCUAUGGCGCGGUGAAUACGUUCCCGGGCCCUU
Molecule: ribosomal RNA, 363 nt
Filed under: uncultured Sphingobacteriales bacterium
Lineage: Bacteria; Pseudomonadati; Bacteroidota; Sphingobacteriia; Sphingobacteriales
Description: bacterial SSU rRNA
Rfam family: Bacterial small subunit ribosomal RNA
Source: RNAcentral